AACGAACGCUGGCGGCAUGCCUAACACAUGCAAGUCGAACGAGACCUUCGGGUCUAGUGGCGCACGGGUGCGUAACGCGUGGGAACCUGCCCUUAGGUUCGGAAUAACUCCCCGAAAGGGGUGCUAAUACCGGAUAAUGUCUUCGGACCAAAGAUUUAUCGCCUUUGGAUGGGCCCGCGUUGGAUUAGCUAGUUGGUAGGGUAAAAGCCUACCAAGGCGACGAUCCAUAGCUGGUCUGAGAGGAUGAUCAGCCACACUGGGACUGAGACACGGCCCAGACUCCUACGGGAGGCAGCAGUGGGGAAUAUUGGACAAUGGGCGAAAGCAUGAUCCAGCUAUGCCGGGUGAGUGAUGAAGGCCUUAGGGUUGUAAAGCUCUUUUACCCGGGAUGGUAAUGACAGUACCGGGAGAAUAAGCACCGGCUAACUCCGUG
This 433-nucleotide ribosomal RNA is filed under the name uncultured bacterium. RNAcentral's name for it is "partial 16S ribosomal RNA". It matches the Rfam family "Bacterial small subunit ribosomal RNA", at positions 29 to 507 of the family's 1533-position model. The record is from RNAcentral.